RNAcentral lists this ribosomal RNA (253 nucleotides) under uncultured bacterium. RNAcentral describes it as "partial 16S ribosomal RNA". It matches the Rfam family "Bacterial small subunit ribosomal RNA", at positions 524 to 776 of the family's 1533-position model. The record is from RNAcentral.
GACGGAAGGUGCAAGCGUUGCUCGGAAUCACUGGGCGUAAAGGGUGCGUAGGCGGCUCGUCGCGUCGACCGUGAAAACCCGCGGCUUAACUGCGGGCUUGCGGUUGAUACGGGCGGGCUAGAGUUCGGUAGGGGAGACUGGAAUUCCUGGUGUAGCGGUGAAAUGCGCAGAUAUCAGGAGGAACACCGGUGGCGAAGGCGGGUCUCUGGGCCGAUACUGACGCUGAGGAGCGAAAGCGUGGGGAGCGAACAGG